Molecule: long non-coding RNA, 1591 nt
Organism: Columba livia (rock pigeon)
Lineage: Eukaryota; Metazoa; Chordata; Aves; Columbiformes; Columbidae
Exons: 2
Source: RefSeq, a predicted model, not a curated record
CAGCCCCCGCGGCGCGCCCGGAUCGCCUGAGGGUGAGGGGAAGCGGACAGGGCUGAGGGGCAGCGGCUCCGCUGCCUUCAGCCGGCCCAGAUGAGGGGGUCCCGGCUUCUCCCGUCCUGUACCCCCUCUGGUAGCCGUGUUCCUCCCUUCAGUGGCCUCGGCUCCGUUCUGUCCCCGACCUGGGGCUGCUCAGUGUGAAAAUUGGUUAAGCACACAGCGAUGUCACCGAGUAUCAGAAACAAAAACCAUCUGUACAGUCACGUUAGCAUCAUCAGCGAUCUGGUACCGCAGACCAAAUCCUCGCCCACAACAAACCGGAUUAGCUCUGUCGAUCGCGCAGCUCUGCCAGCCCUGCGCCGAGAGCCUCAGGGCUGAACCCAGCUGGUACGGUGUUUCCGUGGCAAUUUUGCCGCAUGUUGUUUAUUCCAGAUCGCCUGCAAACAUCCCAGGGCUCUCAUCAUAUCCCAGGUUGGUUUUCUGCCCCCCAGUUUCCACAGCGAGCCGGGGUCAUGCGGGAUAAACCCAGCGCAUCCUUCUGAGCCCCUCAGCAGGCACCGUGCGCACCCUCGCUCCGCAGAACAUCUUUUGUUUUAUUAUUUAUGCAUCCUGAACCCCUUGUUCUCCUCUGCUUCUCGGGUUACCUGCUGAUAACACAGCAACUCCCAUCCUUUCGUUUCUCUCAGUAUCAACAGAAAGGCAGCGCAGCUCUACACGCAGGCACUAAUGACAUCCCCGCGCGCUGCACCAGGAGGGGAGGGUGGGUUUUGGGGCCUGAAUACUGUUUUUAAUCCUAUCUGGGCUCAAAACAGCCAAAGCGCUUUGUCCUGAAGGAGAGCAGGCGCUCUGCAAGCAGAGCACGAAGAAAGGGAGCGGACGGCCAGGUCAGAAGGAUGAAACGGGGACCACUGAGAUUAAGAAAUGGCUUUUAAAUUCUGCAGCUGUCCCUUGUGCUUCAUGUUGUCAACCUUGGGAAGGCCUGAUCAUGCACCCUCUGGCGUUGACAACACACUCAUUGGCUUCCUCGCGAGCGUAACACCCUAAAUACCCACACUUUAAAUGAAGUAUUGAAUGUGCAGCUGGAAAACCCUCUGCUCAGCCCUAAUGGAGCUGCUUUCCUCGCCGCUGCCGCAAUAUCAUCUUCCUGGUUCACAGAUUCCUUUCAGGUUUGUUAUUUUGGGGGAAAAUUUCAGUGCCUCCCACUCGCUCUGGCUUCAGCACCCCAGAGAAGCCGCUUUGAUCACCAGGCCCCUUGUAUAUCAAUGCGUGUCCUUUCCAAACCAGCAACCGAACGCAGACCUGGUUAUUUUUAAUCCUCCCCUCUAGGUAUUAAUAGCCGCGGCGCGUGCUCUGCUGAGCAGUUGUCUACCAGCCGCAUCCAUGUCCAGGAAGGAGACGGGAUGGGCCCGUUGGAGAGAACAAGAAAGGAGUAUGGAUCAGGCUUUUUAUCCAAAUUUAUCCUCUCAGUCCCAAAGCACAGGGUAAGUUGUGUAGAAAUGUGAAAAUUUGCUCCGAAAACGUUCUGCAGAGGGAGUACAUGAGAUCCUGAGUGUCUGGGAUUUCCUGAUUGUCAAUAAAAUAAGUGAUGCCUUGA